This 280-nucleotide unclassified non-coding RNA is filed under the name fungal sp. RNAcentral describes it as "partial internal transcribed spacer region". The stretch from base 1 to 46 matches the Rfam family "Eukaryotic small subunit ribosomal RNA", at positions 1786 to 1831 of the family's 1831-position model. The record is from RNAcentral. Lineage: Eukaryota; Fungi.
AAGUCGUAACAAGGUCUCCGUUGGUGAACCAGCGGAGGGAUCAUUACCGAGUCACGUGCUCAAAUAACCCUUCUGUGGACUUGAAUUAAAACCGUUGCCUCGGCGGGCGGUCCCCUGCCAAAACCCACGUGGUGUGGGUAGGGGACCAGACAGUCCGGCACGCUUAAGGCGUCCGGCGCCAGCCGCUGGCCCUAAACAAUUAAACUCUAGUAACCUUACCUUCUGAGUUUUAAUGCAAAAAAAUAAGUCAAAACUUUCAACAACGGAUCUCUUGGCUCUG